RNAcentral lists this ribosomal RNA (2921 nucleotides) under Staphylococcus aureus subsp. aureus JKD6159. RNAcentral describes it as "bacterial LSU rRNA". It matches the Rfam family "Bacterial large subunit ribosomal RNA". RNAcentral also lists the same sequence under 1 other name. The record is from RNAcentral. Lineage: Bacteria; Bacillati; Bacillota; Bacilli; Caryophanales; Staphylococcaceae.
UUAAGUUAUUAAGGGCGCACGGUGGAUGCCUUGGCACUAGAAGCCGAUGAAGGACGUUACUAACGACGAUAUGCUUUGGGGAGCUGUAAGUAAGCUUUGAUCCAGAGAUUUCCGAAUGGGGAAACCCAGCAUGAGUUAUGUCAUGUUAUCGAUAUGUGAAUACAUAGCAUAUCAGAAGGCACACCCGGAGAACUGAAACAUCUUAGUACCCGGAGGAAGAGAAAGAAAAUUCGAUUCCCUUAGUAGCGGCGAGCGAAACGGGAAGAGCCCAAACCAACAAGCUUGCUUGUUGGGGUUGUAGGACACUCUAUACGGAGUUACAAAGGACGACAUUAGACGAAUCAUCUGGAAAGAUGAAUCAAAGAAGGUAAUAAUCCUGUAGUCGAAAAUGUUGUCUCUCUUGAGUGGAUCCUGAGUACGACGGAGCACGUGAAAUUCCGUCGGAAUCUGGGAGGACCAUCUCCUAAGGCUAAAUACUCUCUAGUGACCGAUAGUGAACCAGUACCGUGAGGGAAAGGUGAAAAGCACCCCGGAAGGGGAGUGAAAUAGAACCUGAAACCGUGUGCUUACAAGUAGUCAGAGCCCGUUAAUGGGUGAUGGCGUGCCUUUUGUAGAAUGAACCGGCGAGUUACGAUUUGAUGCAAGGUUAAGCAGUAAAUGUGGAGCCGUAGCGAAAGCGAGUCUGAAUAGGGCGUUUAGUAUUUGGUCGUAGACCCGAAACCAGGUGAUCUACCCUUGGUCAGGUUGAAGUUCAGGUAACACUGAAUGGAGGACCGAACCGACUUACGUUGAAAAGUGAGCGGAUGAACUGAGGGUAGCGGAGAAAUUCCAAUCGAACCUGGAGAUAGCUGGUUCUCUCCGAAAUAGCUUUAGGGCUAGCCUCAAGUGAUGAUUAUUGGAGGUAGAGCACUGUUUGGACGAGGGGCCCCUCUCGGGUUACCGAAUUCAGACAAACUCCGAAUGCCAAUUAAUUUAACUUGGGAGUCAGAACAUGGGUGAUAAGGUCCGUGUUCGAAAGGGAAACAGCCCAGACCACCAGCUAAGGUCCCAAAAUAUAUGUUAAGUGGAAAAGGAUGUGGCGUUGCCCAGACAACUAGGAUGUUGGCUUAGAAGCAGCCAUCAUUUAAAGAGUGCGUAAUAGCUCACUAGUCGAGUGACACUGCGCCGAAAAUGUACCGGGGCUAAACAUAUUACCGAAGCUGUGGAUUGUCCUUUGGACAAUGGUAGGAGAGCGUUCUAAGGGCGUUGAAGCAUGAUCGUAAGGACAUGUGGAGCGCUUAGAAGUGAGAAUGCCGGUGUGAGUAGCGAAAGACGGGUGAGAAUCCCGUCCACCGAUUGACUAAGGUUUCCAGAGGAAGGCUCGUCCGCUCUGGGUUAGUCGGGUCCUAAGCUGAGGCCGACAGGCGUAGGCGAUGGAUAACAGGUUGAUAUUCCUGUACCACCUAUAAUCGUUUUAAUCGAUGGGGGGACGCAGUAGGAUAGGCGAAGCGUGCGAUUGGAUUGCACGUCUAAGCAGUAAGGCUGAGUAUUAGGCAAAUCCGGUACUCGUUAAGGCUGAGCUGUGAUGGGGAGAAGACAUUGUGUCUUCGAGUCGUUGAUUUCACACUGCCGAGAAAAGCCUCUAGAUAGAAAAUAGGUGCCCGUACCGCAAACCGACACAGGUAGUCAAGAUGAGAAUUCUAAGGUGAGCGAGCGAACUCUCGUUAAGGAACUCGGCAAAAUGACCCCGUAACUUCGGGAGAAGGGGUGCUCUUUAGGGUUAACGCCCAGAAGAGCCGCAGUGAAUAGGCCCAAGCGACUGUUUAUCAAAAACACAGGUCUCUGCUAAACCGUAAGGUGAUGUAUAGGGGCUGACGCCUGCCCGGUGCUGGAAGGUUAAGAGGAGUGGUUAGCUUCUGCGAAGCUACGAAUCGAAGCCCCAGUAAACGGCGGCCGUAACUAUAACGGUCCUAAGGUAGCGAAAUUCCUUGUCGGGUAAGUUCCGACCCGCACGAAAGGCGUAACGAUUUGGGCACUGUCUCAACGAGAGACUCGGUGAAAUCAUAGUACCUGUGAAGAUGCAGGUUACCCGCGACAGGACGGAAAGACCCCGUGGAGCUUUACUGUAGCCUGAUAUUGAAAUUCGGCACAGCUUGUACAGGAUAGGUAGGAGCCUUUGAAACGUGAGCGCUAGCUUACGUGGAGGCGCUGGUGGGAUACUACCCUAGCUGUGUUGGCUUUCUAACCCGCACCACUUAUCGUGGUGGGAGACAGUGUCAGGCGGGCAGUUUGACUGGGGCGGUCGCCUCCUAAAAGGUAACGGAGGCGCUCAAAGGUUCCCUCAGAAUGGUUGGAAAUCAUUCAUAGAGUGUAAAGGCAUAAGGGAGCUUGACUGCGAGACCUACAAGUCGAGCAGGGUCGAAAGACGGACUUAGUGAUCCGGUGGUUCCGCAUGGAAGGGCCAUCGCUCAACGGAUAAAAGCUACCCCGGGGAUAACAGGCUUAUCUCCCCCAAGAGUUCACAUCGACGGGGAGGUUUGGCACCUCGAUGUCGGCUCAUCGCAUCCUGGGGCUGUAGUCGGUCCCAAGGGUUGGGCUGUUCGCCCAUUAAAGCGGUACGCGAGCUGGGUUCAGAACGUCGUGAGACAGUUCGGUCCCUAUCCGUCGUGGGCGUAGGAAAUUUGAGAGGAGCUGUCCUUAGUACGAGAGGACCGGGAUGGACAUACCUCUGGUGUACCAGUUGUCGUGCCAACGGCAUAGCUGGGUAGCUAUGUGUGGACGGGAUAAGUGCUGAAAGCAUCUAAGCAUGAAGCCCCCCUCAAGAUGAGAUUUCCCAACUUCGGUUAUAAGAUCCCUCAAAGAUGAUGAGGUUAAUAGAUUCGAGGUGGAAGCAUGGUGACAUGUGGAGCUGACGAAUACUAAUCGAUCGAAGACUUAAUCAA